UACAGAGGGUGCGAGCGUUAAUCGGAAUUACUGGGCGUAAAGCGCGCGUAGGCGGCUUUGCAAGUCGGGUGUGAAAUCCCCAGGCUUAACCUGGGAACUGCAUUCGAGACUGCAUUGCUAGAGUAUGGGAGAGGGAAGUGGAAUUUCAGGUGUAGCGGUGAAAUGCGUAGAUAUCGGGAGGAACACCAGCGGCGAAGGCGGCACUCUGGGCUGGAACUGACGCUGAGGAGCGAAAGCGUGGGUAGCAAACAGG
Molecule: ribosomal RNA, 253 nt
Filed under: uncultured bacterium
Lineage: Bacteria
Description: partial 16S ribosomal RNA
Rfam family: Bacterial small subunit ribosomal RNA
Source: RNAcentral